GGCCACGUGCCCGAGUAGUCAGGGAACGGUCUGCAAAACCGUUUUACAGGGGUGCAAAUCCCCUCGUGGCCU
This 72-nucleotide transfer RNA is filed under the name Candidatus Berkelbacteria bacterium. RNAcentral's name for it is "tRNA-Cys". It matches the Rfam family "tRNA". From Rfam's summary of the family: Transfer RNA (tRNA) molecules are approximately 80 nucleotides in length. Their secondary structure includes four short double-helical elements and three loops (D, anti-codon, and T loops). Further hydrogen bonds mediate the characteristic L-shaped molecular structure. tRNAs have two regions of fundamental functional importance: the anti-codon, which is responsible for specific mRNA codon recognition, and the 3' end, to which the tRNAs corresponding amino acid is attached (by aminoacyl-tRNA synthetases). tRNAs cope with the degeneracy of the genetic code in two manners: having more than one tRNA (with a specific anti-codon) for a particular amino acid; and 'wobble' base-pairing, i.e. permitting non-standard base-pairing at the 3rd anti-codon position. The record is from RNAcentral. Lineage: Bacteria; Candidatus Berkelbacteria.